Quercus robur (English oak) is the source of this 3844-nucleotide long non-coding RNA. RefSeq lists it as uncharacterized. The record is from RefSeq and is a predicted model, not a curated record. NCBI's taxonomy places the organism in Eukaryota, Viridiplantae, Streptophyta, Magnoliopsida, Fagales, Fagaceae. The transcript has 9 exons.
AAACAAACACUUUUGAAAUUUCCCAAUCCCUAAUCUCAGCUCAACCUCCCGAUCCAAUCUUGCCGCCGUGCUCUCAAGAGCUUUCGCCACCGUGCUCUCAAUCCACUACCCACAAACCUCACGCCUCCUCCCUCAUCAAAACCCGAAAAAUUUGCUGACCGAAGAGACCCAAGCUCUUCACUGGCGAGGCUUGCUCUGUCACCGGCAGGCUGUCACUCCACUUGAUCAAGUUUAAACGCACAAGUGAAACAAAACAAAACAUGGCCAUGAAACCUAAAACCCACAACGGAAAUGGCAACUCCAGUGACAACAACGGCAGCGGAGGAAGACAUGGUGAUUAGUAUGGUGGCUGCUUGUGUUAACCUCAGUACCUCGUUUCAUGGCGAAACCGGGUUCUGGGUCCGGUUCCGAUUCUAAUAAAGCCUCUCAGAAUGUUGUGUUUGUAGACACCAGCCUGGACACCACUUGGCCUUGUUUGUUUCAAAUUCCAACACCGUUUCCGACCUCAAAAUUUCUAUUCCUAAUGACCUUUACAUGUCGUCAACUUGCAAAGAAAAUUCUUUAUGAGCACCCACUGUGCUUUCCUAACACUGGGAAGAUACAAAUUCAUGCUCUAAAGGUAAAGCGCAAAGGAUACUUUUACCACUUAUCAGAUUCCAUGUUUGUAAAAAGUUCUUUUGAUGGAAUCAAGAAGAAUUGGUUUCUUUUUGUUGAUGCCUCUCAUUCAAUGGAGCAUGGUGAAAAUCAACAGUCCCAUAUUCCUGGUUCUAACAACAUAUUAGCCUGUUUUGGCACCAAUAAUAGUACUUCAUUUGAUAGGAUUGAUCUUCCUCAUGAUGGUUCUCUCAAAAGGCCAUCCAAUAUUAAUGGUUCACCACUACAGCUGGUUGGGAGCAACUAGAAUGUGAAAGAGAAUAUUCCUAUAGCUGACCAGUAUGGUUCAAGUGAUUUUGGUGUAGAAGUUUUAAAAGAAAAAAAUGCUUCAGUUCAUGGAUUUGGCAAAGAUGCGUCACAACAAGAUAUUGCAGUCCCAGAAUACUCUUUAGAUGAUGCAGGUAGAGAAGUUUCAUUUGAUAUGAGGAUGGGAAACAAAAUUAUUCCUGAUGAACCUUGCAGGAGUUCGUCUUCUAAUAUUAGUAAGAGGUCAGUUUCUACAGUAGAGAGGAAGAAUUAUCUGAGCAAGGAAACUGAAGUUAAAGAAAAACAUGGUAAUGGCAAGAUUGAAAAAUUUAAGAAUGACAUGGAUGUGCAAGGCAACAAGUCAUUGGAAGAAGCUGCACAAUCUAGGUCUCAUAAAAAGAGAAAGCGUAACAUUGAAAAGAAAAUUGGAGAUGAAGAUUCUUUGAAGGAAAAGAGAGUUUUGACUUGUGAUUCUACUAAAGAGAUCUCCAAGGCAAAUACCAUCUUAGGCAGUAUAUCUUCUGAACCAGUGGAGGAUGCCCAUUUGUUAGAAACUGGUUCAAGCAGUGGGAAGCAUAAGAAGAGAAGAAAGAAAACUUCAAAUACUCUCAAUCAGGUAGUUUCUACAGUUCCUUCUUCUGGAAAAGAUGUUAGAGAAGAGAACUCUUAGGUCACGGUGGGACUUAAUCACAAGGAUUCAGGUGGAGAACCUGGUGCAGCAUCUGUUCCUGGACAAGAUGUCCAGCUUGCAACUGUAACAACUUCUGAACUCUCUGGAAUUUCUUUGAAGGAAAAGCAGGGUGAUUCUGUUCAUGAAAUGGGGGAAAAUAAUGAAUUACCCUCUUCACUAGUGGACAAACAGAAGAGAAAUGUGACCGUAGACAGUUUAGCCACUGAACCUUUGGAAAAUGUACAUUUGCUGGAAACUGAUUCAAGCAGGGUAAAGAAGAAGAGGAAAAAGAAAUCUGAUUCCCUUAAUCAAGUAUUCACUGCUGUUCCUUCUGCCAAAGAUACUAAGGAAGAAAGUUCUAGGGUCACUUUGGAAAUUAAUUAGAAGGAUUCAAUUAAAGAAUUGGAUGCAACAUGUGUAACUGGAGAGUGUGUUCAGGAUGCAAUGACUUCUGGACUUCGUGAAAUCUCUGAGAAGGAGAAGGAGAAGCAGUAUGACUUUGCAGUGGGGGAACAUGACAAAGUCAUAUUGCUUCUCCCUCUCCUUCUCAGAGAUUUCACGAAGUCCAGAAGUCAACAUGUCUGGAGCUGCGUUUGUUUAAACCUUCUCUCUCACUCUCUCCCUUUGACUCUCAAACCCAAUCCUCCUCACCAUGGCCGAAGCCGUCACUCUCUCUCACUCCGAUCACCAGCACCACCACUACGAUGGUCUUCUCCAUCCCCGAACCAACUCUCUCAACCUCGAAAUCUCUCUCUAAUCCUCAGAUCGCCAUGGUGGCAGCGGUGGUUGCAGCAUCAGAGCCAUUUGGAUCAUCAACAGCCUCGAUGCCAUCGUUUUCUCCAGGGCUAUUUUAGUAAUCUGCCAAUUAGUACACAGGGAUUGUAUACAGAGGUGGUUUAACGAGAAGGGCAACACCACCUGUGAAAUAUGCCUCCAGGCUAGGCAAGUUCAUCCAGAUAAAAAUCCAAACGACUCUCAAGCGGCUGAAAGAUUUCAGGCUAGUUCAUCCAGAUAAAAAUCUACUAAUUUUUCCCUUAUAGAAAAAUUCAGGUUUUGGCUUUUCAAUACUAUAGAAACAAUAAGGAAUCUACUAACAGAAAUUUUUUAAUUUUAAUACUAUUUCCUCUACUCUAGUGUUGUGGAAUGACCUAUUUUACACAAAUUUUGGCUUCAUUUCUUCAACUUUUAUUUCAGAAGGUGUUGUUAGACCAGGUCAACAGUCAAACACAACAUUGCAUUGUCCUAAACUUAAUUAUGAUUGCAUUGUUCUAAUAUGCUUCUCAUGUGUUAAGGGUUGGUCAUUUCUUUCUCUUCCAUAUAUUCUUUGAUUCUUUUAUUUUUAAUCCUAUGGUUAGGAUUUGUAUGUUAAUUUUACACAAAUUUGGCUGUCUCUAGGCCUAAAUUUUAUAUCCAACUGCUUUGGGCUAGUGAACAUUACCCAAUCUACGCCUUUUGAGGAGACCUUCUCUCUCUCUCUCUCUUCUUAUAUAUAUACCUCUCUUUGUCACUAUUGUUUCUUGUGCAGUAGUAGUUGUAGUAGUAGUAAAUUCAAAAGCAGAGUUUUGUGUUUGUAUUACUUUUUGCAACCACCUAGGCUAGAAGAGAGGAAGAAGUAAGAAGAAGAAGAAUAUAGAGGUUUGAUCCAGCAGAAGAGGCAGAGAAAGAGAGAGCAGCCCAGAUAGGGUCAAAGUCUACAACAUGCAUCCAAGGGUGGUCAAACCCAUCAAAAAAGUACAAGUUGUUUACUAUCUCUCAAGAAAUGGCCAUCUUGAACACCCACAUUACAUGGAAGUCACCCAUUUAGUCAAUCAACCUCUUCGUUUAAGAGGUUUUCCUAAAGCAGCAUCUUACAAAUGUUGUCUUUUGACUCCAAUUUUGGUGAUGAAGGUUAAGAAUUUAAUAGCUUGAUUUGGUUAUUGUGAAUUGGCUCCUGCAAAUCUUUCUGGUCAACUGGUUCCACAACUUGGUCAGCUUUUAAAUCUGCAAUACUUGGCCUGUGAAACGAUCAUGUUUAUUGAAGGUGAACGAUCAGCAAUAAGACAGAUCGAUCCAAUAGGAUCAGGUGGGAACUUUGUGAUGUUUUUAUUUUGUGAUGUAAAAACCAAAGUUUGUUGGGAACUUUUAUUUUAUAUGUAAUUAUUUGGAUAUGUAAUUAAUCUUUUGGCAACGAACAUAAUUGUUUUGUUUAUGUAAAAUUAUCGUUCAUGUAAUUAAUAUUUUGGUAAUGAUUUGAUACUAUAUAGUAUCAAAUAUGCAAUUUGUUUUGUUGGUUCA